Molecule: transfer RNA, 88 nt
Organism: Beta vulgaris subsp. vulgaris (sugar beet)
Lineage: Eukaryota; Viridiplantae; Streptophyta; Magnoliopsida; Caryophyllales; Amaranthaceae
Rfam family: tRNA
About the family: Transfer RNA (tRNA) molecules are approximately 80 nucleotides in length.
Source: Rfam
CCGACCUUAGCUCAGUUGGUAGAGCGGAGGACUGUAGUUAGUCAAGCAGAUGAUCCUUAGGUCGCUGGUUCAAAUCCGGCAGGUCGGA